Molecule: ribosomal RNA, 815 nt
Filed under: uncultured bacterium
Lineage: Bacteria
Description: bacterial SSU rRNA
Rfam family: Bacterial small subunit ribosomal RNA
Source: RNAcentral
ACACAUGCAAGUCGAGGGGUAUAGUAGCAAUACUAGAGACCGGCGCACGGGUGCGUAACGCGUAUGCAAUCUACCUUUUGCAGAGGGAUAGCCCAGAGAAAUUUGGAUUAAUACCUCAUAGUAUAACGACUCGGCAUCGAGAUGUUAUUAAAGUCACAACGGCAAAAGAUGAGCAUGCGUCCCAUUAGUUAGUUGGUAAGGUAACGGCUUACCAAGACUACGAUGGGUAGGGGUCCUGAGAGGGAGAUCCCCCACACUGGUACUGAGACACGGACCAGACUCCUACGGGAGGCAGCAGUGAGGAAUAUUGGACAAUGGGCGCAAGCCUGAUCCAGCCAUGCCGCGUGCAGGAUGACGGUCCUAUGGAUUGUAAACUGCUUUUGCACAGGAAGAAGCAACGCUACGUGUAGCGUCUUGACGGUACUGUGAGAAUAAGGAUCGGCUAACUCCGUGCCAGCAGCCGCGGUAAUACGGAGGAUCCAAGCGUUAUCCGGAAUCAUUGGGUUUAAAGGGUCCGUAGGCGGUCUUAUAAGUCAGUGGUGAAAUCUCCCCGCUCAACGGGGAAACGGCCAUUGAUACUGUAGGACUUGAAUUAUUAGGAAGUAACUAGAAUAUGUAGUGUAGCGGUGAAAUGCUUAGAGAUUACAUGGAAUACCAAUUGCGAAGGCAGGUUACUACUAAUGGAUUGACGCUGAUGGACGAAAGCGUGGGUAGCGAACAGGAUUAGAUACCCUGGUAGUCCACGCCGUAAACGAUGGAUACUAGCUGUUGGGCGCAAGUUCAGUGGCUAAGCGAAAGUGAUAAGUAUCCCACCU